This 308-nucleotide unclassified non-coding RNA is filed under the name Nectriaceae sp. Its description in RNAcentral is "partial contains 5.8S ribosomal RNA, internal transcribed spacer 2, and large subunit ribosomal RNA". The stretch from base 1 to 71 matches the Rfam family "5.8S ribosomal RNA", at positions 84 to 154 of the family's 154-position model. Lineage: Eukaryota; Fungi; Ascomycota; Sordariomycetes; Hypocreales; Nectriaceae. The record is from RNAcentral.
GUGAGUCAUCGAAUCUUUGAACGCACAUUGCGCCCGCGAGUAUUCUCGCGGGCAUGCCUGUUCGAGCGUCAUUUCAACCCUCAAACCCCCGGGUUUGGUGUUGGGGAUCGGCGGUCGCGGCCCUCUACGGGCCCGCGCCGGCCCCGAAAUCUAGUGGCGGUCUCGCUUGCAGCCUCCUCUGCGUAGUAGUAACAUUCUCGCACCGGAGCGCGGGCGCGGCCACGCCGUUAAACACCCCACUUCUGAAAGGUUGACCUCGGAUCAGGUAGGAAUACCCGCUGAACUUAAGCAUAUCAAUAAGCGGAGGA